CGCGUAGGCGGACUUUUAAGUUAGGGUGAAAUCCCAGGGCUCAACCCUGGAACUGCCCUUAAUACUGGAAGUCUUGAGUUCGAGAGAGGUGAGUGGAAUUCCGAGUGUAGAGGUGAAAUUCGUAGAUAUUCGGAGGAACACCAGUGGCGAAGGCGGCUCACUGGCUCGAUACUGACGCUGAGGUGCGAAAGUGUGGGGAGCAAACA
This 206-nucleotide ribosomal RNA is filed under the name uncultured bacterium. Its description in RNAcentral is "partial 16S ribosomal RNA". It matches the Rfam family "Bacterial small subunit ribosomal RNA", at positions 568 to 774 of the family's 1533-position model. The record is from RNAcentral.